AGUGGCUUAAAAUAGCUUCCUUUUUUGCGCUUGACUUCCGACAAGGACUUGUAGGCAGCAACAAACACAUCCGUCAUGGGUGGUUCUCUGUGCUUCUACUAACAAGAAGUCAAAGCACUUCCUUAUACUCUCUCUUUGCUGAGAUGGAGUCACCAAGUUUGAUUCUUCUAAGCUGUUUCCUGAUACAAUGCUACGGGUCCACUCACUUUCAUUACCUAAAGAAAGGGGAGGAGUUAACACUGUCCUGUGAAACAUGUCAAUGGCAGGCUGAUGUGAAUUCAGACAACAGAGUGGACUGCAGCUUCAUAGACAGUAAUUAUGCAAAUAACUCAAAAUGCACUGCAUGAAAACAGGACCUAUGCCAAAAGAUAAAGAAGAACAAACCCACCGGUUGUGAAAUCUGUGUAAUGAGGGGAUUCUUUGCCUGUGUUAAUGCUACAUCUGACUCCUGCUUCAUGCAUCCAUUCAAACCCUCUUCUCACCAUGUGGAGUCCUUCAUUGUUGCUCAGGCAGAACCAGACAUUGUGUCUAAACCUGUAAUGGAAAACUCAGUGCUUGUGUCUGGAAGAGAAUCAAUUAAUCUGGCGUGCGCUUUUAAAACAAAGGGGAAUUAUUCCAAUAAUCCUUUCGUGGUGUACUGGAUCAAGACUGGAGCUCAGAGCAGCACAUGUGUGUAUUCCUUUGAUUACGAUGGAUAUGAUAGUGGUGCUGAUCACCACUGUGCCAUCGACAAAGAUCUUCUGUUAAGGAGAUCAAACACAUCAAAACUCUCCCUUGAUGACAACAUCCAUAACCUAAAGAUCAGCAAUGCCACUCAGUCAGACCGUGGACAGUAUCUGUGUGUCUUAAUGGUGAACACAAAUAGUCAGCAGUACUGGGCAGUAAUAACCAACACUACAGUCAUUAUGGAUAAUCCUGAUUCCCAUCUCAUCUAUGUGAUUGGUGUAUUAGUACCCGUUCUUCUCCUCCUCCCUGUCAUCAUCAUCAUCAUCAUACUGCUUAAAAGGAAACCAGCUGAGACCACAGUAUCUCAAACUGCAAUAACUCAAAGAUUUCAGAACGGGGAGGAAGUGGAUGACGACGACUGUUCCCCUUAUGCGAUGGGCCAGGGAGAGCAGGAACCAACGUACUCACUCAUUCAGCUGACCAAUCAGAAGACUGACCCUGUGUUCAGUGGGGAUGGAGAACUCGCUUCAGAUCCAUCAGCAGAUGAGGGCAUCAUGAGGAAGAACUCCAUAUAUGAAACCUCAGGUCCAUAGUCUCAACUGCCUGCCAGUUUCUUGUGUGAGUUCCUGCAUAAAGACCAAGAUUACAUGACCGGCCUGUUUAUAACCCGUAAAUAACCGCAUUAGUCCUGUUUCAGUUAAAAUGAGGAAGGAACUCUCGCUGUCACAACUUCCUGACUGAAACCUAAAAUUUCCCCAGAUUGCUUUGUUUGUGGGCUUAUCCCACAGCUGUCAUUUCAGUUAUAGAAUAUAUAAAUAUGACUAUUGUUGUGAUUUGUUGGAUAGUCAUUUCUAAUACAUUGAGCCAAUAUGCUUGAGGUUGUUCAAAUGUGUUUGCAUGUGUGGUUUGUGAAUAAGCCAAACUGAUAAAUGAACUAAUUAAACUGUAAAUUAAAAAAGUCAGUCUUGAAGGAAAGGGGGCAUUUGUUUUUGUAGUUUGACAGAUACACCCAGUUUACCAGUUAAUAUGGUGAAGCAACUCUCGGUUUCACACAGUAAGCAUUGUGUGUAGUUUUUUUAGCACUCCCAAAAUACUCUGAAAGAGUCAACUUUUCUUUUUAAAGUCACUCAUUCUCUACAUAUUUUUCUGGUCUGUACAAGUUAACUGGUAACCCUCAGUUACUGUAAAGAGAGCGAACUGUUUAUUACACUGAGGGUCUACAGAACCAAAACGAUCUACUGUCCAUUGCAAAGUAUUGCUUCCAUGUUUUUUACGGCAGUCUACUUUAGGUGACUACGUUGCUGGGCUCCCCACUAUACAUAUACAUUUCACCUUAAUGUAGAUAUUAAUAUGACUAUAAGGUAAGCUGUUUCAAAUAAAUCGAAAGAUUAGGCUACUUCAAUACACGUCGGCGUAAAAUUAUAUAACUGAAAUGGC
Molecule: long non-coding RNA, 2103 nt
Organism: Clupea harengus (Atlantic herring)
Lineage: Eukaryota; Metazoa; Chordata; Actinopteri; Clupeiformes; Clupeidae
Source: Ensembl